ACCAAUCUCACGCGGCUUGACCUAGUCAUUAUUCUUCUGAAAAUCCACUGAGACAAUCAGAAAGUCUGACUGGAAAUCUUACGUGAAGAUUCAGCCUAAAGCUGAGGGAGAGGCCGAGCGCCCCCCCUCCCAACUUCCCCUGCAGCUGGCUGCUCAGAGUCUCCAACUUCAAAGGUCCCGCUGUCAAGCGUACACCCCAUUAGCUUUGCUGUGGGCAGCACCUCCGAUAUGGUGAUGACGGCAAUCACUUAGGAGACCCCUUAGGAGCAGUCCAGAAGGAAUGGGUUCGUGAGGUCUCCAGGGUGUAGUCAAUGAAUGUUUCUUUACCCAUGCCUGCCCAUCGACUCCUGACUCCUGACUCCAUCUCCCCACAUGGUCCCAGGCCAACAGGAAGUAGCCAGAUUUGAAACCAAGCUCACAUACCCAAAAAGGUGGGGAUGUUCAGCUGGAAACUUCAGCUCGCCCCAACAUGAUCAAGAAAGCUCCAUUCCUGUCUGUCUCUCUCUCUCCAAAGCCCACACUCUCAGAGUCUCUGAACAAAGGAAAGGCACAGAAUGCCUAUUUCUGUAUUCUUGGUGGCUACAGCAGCUUCCUCCUCCGAACUUGCCAGCCACUCAAGUCCCUGCCUAAAGCCUCCAGCUUUUGACCAUACUUGGGCACAAAUCCAGCUUGUGACAGACACGUCAUCACCCCUCGCCUACAAUUUAUAUAAUCUCCCUGCUUUGGUUUGGGCUUGUGACUUCCCAGACCUCUGUCUCUGGAACCAGAGAAUCCUCCUGGGAGUUGCAUUGAUCAAAUAAACCUGUUGCUAUACCUUUUCAA
Myodes glareolus (Bank vole) is the source of this 822-nucleotide non-coding RNA. The record is from RefSeq and is a predicted model, not a curated record. NCBI's taxonomy places the organism in Eukaryota, Metazoa, Chordata, Mammalia, Rodentia, Cricetidae.